AUGGCCGCGUCCGUAUUCCUCGCCGCCGUCCUUGCCCUCCAGCUCCUCCAUGUGGCCCGCGGCGAGAUCAAGACGACGCCGAUCGUGUCCGACUCACGGCCCGUCAUCCUGUUCGAGGAGUUCGGCUUCAAGCCCGGCGGCGUCGCGCAGGUCUCCGUGUCCGGCGUCUCAUGGAGCGUCCCCGAGGGCUCCCCGCCCCAGGCCGUGGACCCGGGGCUCAUGGGCUUCAUCCUCAUCUCCAACACCCUCUUCUUCAAGAUCACCAACGAGUCCGAGUACGCGGAGGAGACCGGCAGCUCCUUCUGCCCGCUCACCAGCGAGUACGUGAUGCCGCUCUUCCGGCUCAAGGACAUCGGGCGUGACGGCGCGGGCGGUGGUAACGUGACCAUCGGCGACGCCGACCAGUACACGGUGCUGUUCAGCAGCUGCCAGGACGGCGUCGAGAUCACCAUGGACGUUCGCACGGAGAUGUACAACCUGCCUAGCCCCGGCGGCGACAGGGAGUACCUGCCCGUCGGCCUGCUCCCGCUGCCGGGAAUCUUCGCCGCCUCCUCCGUGCUGUACUUCGCGUUCCUGGCGGCGUGGGUGUUCGUCUGCAUCAAGCAGCGCGCCACGGUCGAGCGGAUCCACGCUGUCAUGGGCGCGCUGCUGCUGUUCAAGGCCCUGAAGCUGGCGUGCGCCGCCGAGGACGCGUGGUACGUCGGGCGCACCGGCACGCCGCACGGCUGGGACGUCGCCUUCUACGUUUUCGGCUUCUUCAAGGGCAUCCUCCUCUUCACCGUCAUCGUGCUCAUCGGCACCGGUUGGUCCUUCCUGAAGCCAUAUCUCCAGGAGCGGGAGAAGAACGUGCUGAUGAUCAUCAUCCCGCUGCAAGUGAUCGAGAACAUCGCGUCGGCGAUGAUCGGCGAGACGGGGCCGGCGGGGCGGGACUGGCUGGCGUGGAACCAGAUCUUCCUGCUGGUGGACGUGGUCUGCUGCUGCGCGGUCUUCUUCCCCAUCAUCUGGUCCAUCCGCAACCUCAGGGAGGCCUCCAAGACGGACGGCAAGGCGGCAAGGAACCUCAAGAAGCUCACCCUCUUCAAGCAGUUCUACCUCGUCGUCGUCGGCUACCUCUACUUCACCCGGAUCGCCGUCUCCGCCUUCGCCGCUGUGCUCAGCUACAAGUACCAGUGGGUGGUCAACGUCUCCGUCGAGCUCGCCAGCCUCGCAUUCUACGUCUUCGUCUUCUAUAACUUCCAGCCGGUGGAAAGGAACCCGUACCUCUACGUUGCGGACGAGGAGGAAGAGGCUGCCGGUGGCCAGCUCGAGCUAGAGGGGACGUUUGAGAUCUGA
RNAcentral lists this ribosomal RNA (1332 nucleotides) under Triticum aestivum (bread wheat). Its description in RNAcentral is "partial small subunit ribosomal RNA". Lineage: Eukaryota; Viridiplantae; Streptophyta; Magnoliopsida; Poales; Poaceae. The record is from RNAcentral.